UUUAUGUCCAAGCUACUAAGGGUCCACGGUGGAUGCCUUGGCGCUAGGAGCCGAUGAAGGACGUGGCAGGCUGCGAUAAGCCUCGGGGAGCUGUCAAGCAAGCGUUGAUCCGGGGAUGUCCGAAUGGGGAAACCCGGCUGGGGUCAUGCCCAGUCACUCCGGUCUGAACACAUAGGGCCGGUAGAGGGAACCAGGGGAAUUGAAACAUCUCAGUACCCUGCAGGAAAAGAAAGCAAUAGCGACUCCCUGAGUAGUGGUGAGCGAAACGGGAUCAGCCUAAACCAGUGCGGUGUCAAAGCCCGGCGGCGUUGCCGUACUGGUGUUGUGGGAGCCAUCUGAUGACUCGUCGGGGUCAUCGAGGAGUUACAAAAUCGGGUGAUAGUCGAACCAGGCUGGAAAGUCUGGCCAUAGAAGGUAAGAGCCCUGUAGACGAAAUCACACCGAUCUCCUGAUGGAGUUCCCAAGUAUCACGGG
This 474-nucleotide ribosomal RNA is filed under the name Gammaproteobacteria bacterium. RNAcentral describes it as "partial 23S ribosomal RNA". It matches the Rfam family "Bacterial large subunit ribosomal RNA", at positions 1 to 421 of the family's 2925-position model. Lineage: Bacteria; Pseudomonadati; Pseudomonadota; Gammaproteobacteria. The record is from RNAcentral.